This 202-nucleotide unclassified non-coding RNA is filed under the name Hevea brasiliensis (rubber tree). Lineage: Eukaryota; Viridiplantae; Streptophyta; Magnoliopsida; Malpighiales; Euphorbiaceae. The record is from RNAcentral.
AUAAGCUUGAGUCGACUUACCUAUAUAUCCAAAUGGAAUACUGCCCAAGGACUCUCCGUCAAAUGUUUGAAUCAUAUAGUCAUUUAGACAAGGAACUUGCAUGGCAUUUGUUCCGACAAAUCGUAGAAGGCUUGACACAUAUCCAUGGACAAGGCAUAAUUCAUCGGGACUUGACACCUAAUAAUAUAUUUUUUGAUGCUCG